This 67-nucleotide transfer RNA is filed under the name Gyrodactylus gurleyi. RNAcentral's name for it is "tRNA-Met". The record is from RNAcentral. Lineage: Eukaryota; Metazoa; Platyhelminthes; Monogenea; Gyrodactylidea; Gyrodactylidae.
AAAAAGGUAAGUUAAAUUAUAAAACUGUUUGAUUCAUGAUCAAAAAAUACACUAUGUGUCCUUUUUA